Molecule: long non-coding RNA, 779 nt
Filed under: Vitis vinifera (wine grape)
Lineage: Eukaryota; Viridiplantae; Streptophyta; Magnoliopsida; Vitales; Vitaceae
Description: long non-coding RNA (VVIN_LNC000989)
Source: RNAcentral
GACUUACUUUACUUCAUAGAGCUCUUGUCGGUUUACCGAUCUAUUUUAUUUUUUGUUCACCAUCCCAAGAAUUGUUAGGUUGAGAUUAGAGAAGAUGCAAAGGGAUUUUCUUUGGGGAGGAGGGGCAUUAGAGAACAAAAUGCACUAAGGUGGUGUUUGUUUUUUGGCCGAAUAGAAAAAGCCAAAUUAUUUGGCUUUUUCUAUUCAGCUAAAAGUAACUCAUUGACAUCAACCAACAUAAUUAGACUAAACUUAUUGAUAUCAAGUUCACUUUAAUUAUGCUGGUUAAUAUCAACAAGGUACUUUUAGCUAAAUAGAAAAAGCCAAAUGUUUUGGCUUUUUCUAUUCAGCCAAAAAACAAACACCACCUAAGUCAAGUGGUUUUUUGUUUGUAAAGCAAAAUUGAAAAGAGGACUAGGUGUUCGUUCUCUUUCUUUGCGUAAUAAGGCCUUUCUUUGCAAAUGGUGUUGGUGUUUCUCUAGUGAAAGAGAUUCAUUGUGGAAGAAAAUCAUAAAAGGAAAGUUUGGGGAGGAAGAGGAGGGUUGGAGGUUAGGAGUGGUCAGAAAGCCCUAUGAGGCUGGGGUUUGGAAAGAAAUUGGAAAGUAGUGAGAGUUUUUUAAUAGAAAGAUUUCCUUCAAAGUGAGUAAUGGGAGUAGAGUGAAUGUCUGGAAAGAUAGAUGGUGCAGUGAGCAACCUUUAUAUGAGAUUUUCUCUUCCUUGUUUGCCCUUUUCUGAUUCAAAGGAGGCAUGAGUAGCUAAUUUUUGGGAGCAAAGUGGGG